Molecule: long non-coding RNA, 4384 nt
Organism: Ictalurus punctatus (channel catfish)
Lineage: Eukaryota; Metazoa; Chordata; Actinopteri; Siluriformes; Ictaluridae
Source: Ensembl
UUAUUUUCAGAUCGUUCCAGCUUUCAGUAUGGCAAUUUCUUUCUUUACUUGUGUUUUCUUUCCAUGCCAGUGUUUAGCAUUGUUUUCCCUAUCGUGUUCCCUCUGUUCAUUGUGUUUGUCUCUUCAUGUUCCAAGUCUACUGCUCACGCUUGCUGCUAUACACUCCUGCCUCACUUCCUGCUAUGCCCAUCCCCGCCUCGCCUUCCCCAUGGCUUUCUUGCUCUGCAUUCACCACCAAACCAAGUUCGAGCCCUGGCUUCCACUACUCUUCCGUAAAUCCUGUUAACCUUCAAUUCUUGUGUCUGUGUUCUGAAUUUGGGUCCUCUCGUCACUGUGUUCAUCUUAACAGAAUGAUCUGGCGACCAUGGACCCAGCAGAACUAGUUUCCCCGCAUCCAGCCUUGUUCCACCACGGCGCCCUGCUUGGCCGGCAUAACCAACAGCUUCUUGCCCUCUUUGAGAGCUACCAAGUCCUGAGGAACAAUAUUGGGCUCCUCUCCAAGAAACUUAACUGCAUCCUCCCCCAACUGGCCCAGGCCCCCCCUGGCCCCCAGCCCAGUCAGCCUACCCCUGUGGCCCCAAGUUCUCCCAGUCCACCUUAUGCAGGUGGGCUAGGGAGAUUUAGGUACUUCCUAUUUCAGUGUUGCCUUGCGUUUGCUCAGUGCCAUAACACCUAUUCCACUGACAAAGCCAGGGUAGCCUAUAUCAUGGGGCUUCUUAGGGGAGAUGCCCUAGCCUGUGCCACUAGCGUGUAGGAUAGGCAACCAGCUCUCUGGUCCUUCCUCUAUUCCUUCACCUAAGAACAUUGCCAUGUUUUCGACCACCCUGUCAAAGGGAAUGAUACUGCUAAGUACCUGCUUUCCCUCUGCCAGGGGCCUCACAAGGGUGGAGAUCCAUGUCCUGGACAAUGUGCCCUCUUUGGCUAAAAAAGGGGGGCUACUGGUGAGCUGAACAUCUGCUUCUCCGGCCUCCCUGUUCCACUUCCAGAUCCCAAUCUCCCUGUGCAACAACCAGCUGUCCAUUACCCUGAUGGCGCUGAUCGACUCAGGCACUGAGGACAGUUUCAUAGAUCUGGAGCUAGCUUCCAAGUCUGGCCUCCUCCUGGAACCACUGGACCACCCCCGUGAUGGUACACGCACUGGAUGGAAGAUUCUUAGCACGGGUCACCCAUUGCACCACCCUGUUACUCCUGGUUCUCUCGGGAAAUCACUGCAAGCAGGUCCGGCUCAACCUCAUCUUCUACCCAUGUACUCCACUGGUGUUGGGUCACUCCUGGCUUAAGAAACACAACCCAUUAAGUGGAGUCCCUUCUGCCACUCCUUGUGCCUGAAAUUAGACCUUCCACCCAUUACGGCUGCAACAGCUCCUCCAACCCUAAGCCCUCCAGAUAUUUCGUCCGUGCCCCCCAAAAAGGAUAAAGUCCCUCUGCCCCUGUAUUGAUUACUGACGCCUAAAUAACAUCACCAUAAAAAAUAAGUACCCCCUGCCACUCUUCAGUUCAUCCUUCAAGCCUUUGCAUAGUGCCACCAUCUUCACUAAACUGGACCUGUGGAACACGUACCAUCUGGUCAAGAUCAAUGACAUACUUUGGAACUUCCUGAACUGCUUUGUCUUUGUGUACCUGGACGACAUCCUGGUUUUCAACCAAAACCCCACUGAGCACAGCCACUGUGUUCAACAAGUCCUACAGUGACUCCUGGAGAACUGCCUGUUUUUCAAAGCAGAAAAGUGCAAGUUCCAUGCCCACUCAGUCACCUUCCUGUGGUACAUUAUUGAGAACAGGUGAGUUAAGGCCAAUCCCGAGAAGAUCCAAGCUGUAGUCGAGAGGCCGAGACCAACCACCCUGAAACAGCUCCAAUGAUUCCUUGGGUUCACUAAUUUUUACCGGUGCUUCAUCAGGGAAUAUAGCCAGGUCAUGGCACUCCUCACUAGGCUCAGAUCCACCUCAACUCCUUUCAUGUGGAGCCCUAGUCAUAAGUCACCUUCAAUAAGCUCAAAGAGCUGUUCACCUUUGCCCCUCUGCUCAACCAACCAGAUCCCUUGUGGCAAUUUAUUUUGGAGGUGGACAUCUCCGAUUCAGGUGUGGGUGCCGGGCUCUCCCAACAGUCAGUUCCAGACCAGAAACUUCAUCUGUGCUCCUUAUUUUCUCGUCGCCUCUCCCCCACAGAAAGCAACUACUAUGUGGGGAAUUGUGUGUUGCUGGCUGUGAAGCUGGCCUUUGUAGAGUGGAGACACUGACUCAAGGGGGCUGAGCAGCCUUUCAUCAUUUGGACUGACCAUAAGAACCUGGCCUACAUCCAGACUGCCAAUUGCCUCAACUCCUGCCAGGCUUGCUGGGCCCUAUUCUUUGGGCGGUUUACUUUCACAAUCACCUAUCAUCCCGGCUCUAAGAAUGGUAAGCCAGAUGCCCUGUCCUGCCACAGCCUGUGUGGUGGGGGCUGUCACUUGGGAGAUUGAGUCUGUUAUUUGGAGAGUCCUACGCACCCAACCUGACCCAGGUAAUGGGCCCCACAGCCACUUAUUAUCCAGUAGAUUCACUGUGAGAAACCACUGAGCUUCUUGUCAGCCACAUGUUCUGCCUGCACAGCAUACUCCAUGACAUUGUUUCCAACAACAGGAACCAGUUCAUUUCCCAAGUGUGGAAAUCAUUCUGUAAUGUCCUAGGGGCCACUGUCAGUUUAUACUUGGGAUUUCACCCCAGACCAAUGGCCAGGCAGAGCAGGCAAAUCAGGAGUUGGAAGCAGCACUACGGUGUGUCACAGUCAAUAACCCCUCUACCUGGAGUUCCCAGUUACCAUGGGUGGAGUAUGCCCACAACUCCCUGACCAGUACCACCACUGGUAUGUCACCCUUUGAGUGCUCCCUGGGUUAUCAGCUUCCUGUGUUCCCCAGCCAGGAAGAUGACGAUGCAGGCACCUCCAUGCAAGCCUACCUCCGCCGCUGCCACAGGAUCUGGAAAGAGGCCUGUUCUGCCCUGAUCUGCUCCACUGAAUGCAACCGCCAUCACGUCCCAGCACCCAACUACCUGCCAGGUCAAAGGAUGUAGCUGUCAGCCAAGGACAUCCCUCUGAAGGGUGAGGCCAAGAAACUUUCUUCCCAUUAUCUGGGCCCCUUCAUGGUCAAAAGCAUCAUCAAUCCCUCUGUAGUUAAGCUCAAGCUCCACAGGUCCCUGCCAUACACCCUACUCUUCACGUCUCCCAACUCAAGCCGGUUCACGUCAGCUCCCUGAGCCCUCCUUCUGACCCACCAGAGUCACGAUCAACCACCGUGCUUACACCAUCAGGAGGCUGCUGGAUGUGCACCAUAGAGAAUGAGGCCUCACACCUCUCUGAUUAAAGCAUUGGUCACACCUGUUCCUCAUCUUCUCACCUCAUCAACAGUGUAUAUAAACCCCAGUUUUUCAGCCACUCAUUGCACGAUUGUUCCAGCUUUCAGUCUACUGCUUAUACUUCCUGCUGUUCACUCCUGGCUCACUUCCUGCUACGCCCAGCCCCACCUCGCCUUCCCUGUGGCUCACACUGCCGACGCCCGUUUCAUCCCUGUGGCGCUUUGGCAGUGAUAGGAUUCCUCUGAUUCCCAGUGGAUGACAAUGACUCCUCCGUCCUCCCCGGCAACCGCUCAAGCACCACCACCUCUCUCAAUCUGCGCUGCAGUCCUCGCACAGCGGUGAGGGCUCCCUGGCAGCAUGUCCCUCCUCCUUCCAAGUUUCAGCACUCCUGUAACAAACUUCACACACAGGCAAGGAGUAGAUGGGAACUGGCUGAAGAUAAACGUAAAAUUUAAUAAUAAACAAAAUUCAAACAUAACAUAAACCACACAAACAGAACUCAAACAGAAAGUGCACAUGCGUCUCUCUCGCUCUCUCUCUCUCCCUCUGCCACUUCCAGCCUCUUCUUUUCCACUCUCUUCCAUUGAUUAGAGAAUUCAGUGCCAGGUGUGCAUCCUCACAGCCUGGCUCCUCCCUCCUUCUCCUCACAAUUAUGUACAUUGCAACAAAAGAUGAAAGAGUUACAGGAAAGAGCACAGGGAGCAUUGGUGAGAACCCUUGCAGAUAUCGAUGCACUGCCUUCUUCAUUAACCUAGAAUGCUCAACAGUGCAACAAAAGCAGAUGGUCUGUCUUUGCCUUCCCAAUGGCAGUGACUACUGACAUCACAGAAAUGCAGAAGCACACAAUGGAUUUUCACUCUGCCCUUUACACUGCAGAAAGCUAUGCUUCAGACUGCACAACUUUUACAUGGAGUUUCUCAAUGGAUGCUGAAUCAAAAGUUGCAUUAGAAUCUGCCAUCAAACCGGAAGAACUCUGCACUGCAGUGAGUCAGCUCUGCUCAGGUCGGUCGGUGUGUAUUGAUGGCUUUCUAUCAACUUUUAUAAGGACUUCUGGAAC